Molecule: ribosomal RNA, 883 nt
Filed under: Halomonas sp.
Lineage: Bacteria; Pseudomonadati; Pseudomonadota; Gammaproteobacteria; Oceanospirillales; Halomonadaceae
Description: bacterial SSU rRNA
Rfam family: Bacterial small subunit ribosomal RNA
Source: RNAcentral
GCCUACCAUGCAAGUCGAGCGGCAGCACGGGAAGCUUGCUUCCUGGUGGCGAGCGGCGGACGGGUGAGUAAUGCAUAGGAAUCUGCCCGGUAGUGGGGGAUAACCUGGGGAAACCCAGGCUAAUACCGCAUACGUCCUACGGGAGAAAGCAGGGGCUCUUCGGACCUUGCGCUAUCGGAUGAGCCUAUGUCGGAUUAGCUGGUUGGUGAGGUAAUGGCUCACCAAGGCGACGAUCCGUAGCUGGUCUGAGAGGAUGAUCAGCCACAUCGGGACUGAGACACGGCCCGAACUCCUACGGGAGGCAGCAGUGGGGAAUAUUGGACAAUGGGCGCAAGCCUGAUCCAGCCAUGCCGCGUGUGUGAAGAAGGCCCUCGGGUUGUAAAGCACUUUCAGUGGGGAAGAAAGCCUGGUGGUUAAUACCCGCCAGGAAGGACAUCACCCACAGAAGAAGCACCGGCUAACUCCGUGCCAGCAGCCGCGGUAAUACGGAGGGUGCGAGCGUUAAUCGGAAUUACUGGGCGUAAAGCGCGCGUAGGUGGCUUGAUAAGCCGGUUGUGAAAGCCCCGGGCUCAACCUGGGAACGGCAUCCGGAACUGUCAGGCUAGAGUGCAGGAGAGGAAGGUAGAAUUCCCGGUGUAGCGGUGAAAUGCGUAGAGAUCGGGAGGAAUACCAGUGGCGAAGGCGGCCUUCUGGACUGACACUGACACUGAGGUGCGAAAGCGUGGGUAGCAAACAGGAUUAGAUACCCUGGUAGUCCACGCCGUAACGAUGUCGACUAGCCGUUGGGUCCUUCGCGGACUUUGUGGCGCAGUUAACGCGAUAGUCGACCGCCUGGGGAGUACGGGCCGCAAGGUUUAAAACUCAAAUGAAAUUGGACCAGAGC